RNAcentral lists this ribosomal RNA (301 nucleotides) under uncultured bacterium. Its description in RNAcentral is "partial 16S ribosomal RNA". It matches the Rfam family "Bacterial small subunit ribosomal RNA", at positions 509 to 808 of the family's 1533-position model. The record is from RNAcentral.
CAGUCGCCGCGGUAAUACGAAGGGGGCUAGCGUUGUUCGGAUUUACUGGGCGUAAAGGGCGCGUAGGCGGACUGAUAAGUCAGGGGUGAAAUCCCAAGGCUCAACCUUGGAACUGCCUUUGAUACUGUUUGUCUUGAGUUCGAGAGAGGUAAGUGGAACUGCGAGUGUAGAGGUGAAAUUCGUAGAUAUUGGGAAGAAUACCGGUGGCGAAGGCGGCGACCUGUCCUUGACUGACGCUGAGGCGCGAAAGCGUGGGGAGCAAACAGGAUUAGAUACCCCGGUAGUCCCUGUCUCUUAUACA